RNAcentral lists this ribosomal RNA (396 nucleotides) under uncultured bacterium. RNAcentral describes it as "partial 16S ribosomal RNA". It matches the Rfam family "Bacterial small subunit ribosomal RNA", at positions 523 to 917 of the family's 1533-position model. The record is from RNAcentral.
AUACGUAGGGGGCGAGCGUUGUCCGGAAUGAUUGGGCGUAAAGGGCGCGUAGGCGGCCUGUUAAGUCUGGAGUGAAAGUCCUGUUUUCAAGAUGGGAAUUGCUUUGGAUACUGAUGGGCUUGAGUGCAGGAGAGGUUAUCGGAAUUCCCGGUGUAGCGGUGAAAUGCGUAGAGAUCGGGAGGAACACCAGUGGCGAAGGCGGGUAACUGGACUGCAACUGACGCUGAGGCGCGAAAGUGUGGGGAGCAAACAGGAUUAGAUACCCUGGUAGUCCACACUGUAAACGAUGAAUGCUAGGUGUAGGAGGUAUCGACCCCUUCUGUGCCGCAGUAAACACAGUAAGCAUUCCGCCUGGGGAGUACGGUCGCAAGAUUAAAACUCAAAUGAAUUGGCGGG